RNAcentral lists this long non-coding RNA (806 nucleotides) under Dermacentor andersoni. RNAcentral describes it as "uncharacterized LOC126520597". The record is from RNAcentral. Lineage: Eukaryota; Metazoa; Arthropoda; Arachnida; Ixodida; Ixodidae.
AAAUUCACUUUCGAGCUAUGGCACUUGCCGCAUAGACGUGGGGGGCCUUGCAUUAAUAGUGAUAGUUACCACUGCAUUUAGAAAUUGAAAGCAUUCAUGCAGACAAGGAUGAUUCUUUAUAUUUUUGGCUACCACUUCAAAUGCCUCCACCAAGUGUUACAAUGCUGCACGCAGCCAUACUAAGGAUGUCCCAGCAACACCUGCAGGUAAAAAGCAAAAGCAGGCAAAGUGCUGGUGUAUUCUGGACACUAGCUUUGAAAACUUUUGGGCAAGAACAGUGCAAGAAGCAGACAUAACAACUGCAUUUAUUUCCACAAUUCCCCAUUUGAAUGGCCUUUUCUUUUUGCUUAGACAAUGCCUACGCCUAGCCACAGCAGCUCCCUCAUACAGACUCCGCAAGCCAAGAGGCCGUGGAGGCAAAUGCAGGCAGCCAGCACACCUCCAGCAGCCACCUUGACUGCGGGUGUGUCACCCUAGUCGCCAAGGAAACAUUUGAGGGAACGCGACAGGCAAUGUGAACAGCCACUUCUCCAUGUAAACGAUACUCUUUCUCUCGGAUGACUCCUACGCCUCGCCACGCCAGCACACUUGUGCACAAAGAUGCCGCGGAGGCACGUACAGGUCAGAGGCAAGAAGCAGUGGCACUGAUGUCGACAUUCGCCCAAUUUCUUUUUCUUACAUUGAGGCAGCCAGCACACCUCGAACAGCCACCUUGACUGCGGGUGUGUCAGUAGAUUCCUGUUGUACAUAUGCUCAUAAUAAACUUCAGUAAACUUGAACUUGAUAAUAAACUUGAUGGCAAAUGG